RNAcentral lists this long non-coding RNA (1057 nucleotides) under Mus caroli (Ryukyu mouse). RNAcentral's name for it is "lncRNA (MGP_CAROLIEiJ_G0006581.1)". The record is from RNAcentral. Lineage: Eukaryota; Metazoa; Chordata; Mammalia; Rodentia; Muridae.
AUUGGUUCACCAGGUUAAACUUGGUGACAGGGUUUCUUUAGCCUAUUGUUGGUUGUGCUCUACCUGGGCAUUUGCUCACAUCUCCAACAGGCCCAUGUAGAGAAUUUAUAUGUAACUUACUAUUGUGUUCCAAGGCCAGCUCCAUUGAGUGCGGUAUAAAAGAGCCUCACAUUUCACAAAAGUGGAAACCAAGACACAAAGGUUAAAGAGCUCCCAAAAUAACACAGAGAAAGAGAAGUGGAGGUUUCUCAAUUGGCAGGGGAAGGAAGUGGGUGAGUCUGGAUCAGGUUAAGGAAAAGGAGAGAAGGAGUGUGGACAGAGCCCUAAGAUCCUGGUGAGAGAUGAAGGAAGUGUGUGUGCAUACGUGUAGCACAGAGGAAGAUAUAUGUCAGGGCAAGCAUCAUUUCCACCAGUCUUAACCCCAUAAAAACUAUCAAGUGAAAAUAAUUUAAAACAAGGACACUUAGGAUGGAGUCCCAUGUGUGAGCAGUGUGAUGUCAUUUAAGAUAGAGUUUCACUUGUGAGUAGCGUGAUAUACUGGUGCAAGUUGAGGUCCUCAUAACUGGUGUUCAAGUCCUUUCUGGGGGAGCUUGGAGCCUACCGACAUUUUAGAAGAAUGAAAUCACUUGAAACAAGCCCCCUUCAGAAGCGACCCAUUACCUUCCUGAUUCUACAAAUGAGUACAUGGAGAUACCCCUGGAAGAUCUACAUGAAUUUAAUAUUAGUAGCUGUCUGAUGUUUCAUUCAAUUGGCUAUGGCUGCAAGGAGCUGCAACCAAUCCAAUUGUUCCUGGUCUUCUGCAGCCUCAGGUACCCCAGGAUUCUUAUUAGUGAUGCAUGUCACCACUUGAAUCAACAAGUGUCACUUCUGUUAUCAGCAAAACCUAUUGCUCCAAGGUCCUGCUUCACAGAAAGAGAAAGGGUCAAGGCCACAGCUUCUAGAUGAGACAUCUCAAGCCCAGGAACUAAAUGAGCCGCUGAGAGUCAACUCGUGAAAGACACCCCCCCUUAAUGCUGCCACUGUCUACCAACUAAGGGAUAUUAAGCUUUAGAAGUUG